This 253-nucleotide ribosomal RNA is filed under the name uncultured bacterium. RNAcentral's name for it is "partial 16S ribosomal RNA". It matches the Rfam family "Bacterial small subunit ribosomal RNA", at positions 524 to 776 of the family's 1533-position model. The record is from RNAcentral.
UACGAAGGGGGCUAGCGUUGCUCGGAAUCACUGGGCGUAAAGCGCACGUAGGCGGCUUUCUAAGUCAGGGGUGAAAUCCUGGAGCUCAACUCCAGAACUGCCUUUGAUACUGGAGAGCUUGAGUUCGGGAGAGGUGAGUGGAACUGCGAGUGUAGAGGUGAAAUUCGUAGAUAUUCGCAAGAACACCAGUGGCGAAGGCGGCUCACUGGCCCGAUACUGACGCUGAGGCACGAAAGCGUGGGGAGCAAACAGG